CUGAUAAGUCACCAUAAAAGAGAGUGGAAUCGAGCAUUGCCAACUGAUAACCCUCUUUCUUUGCUCUCUCAAAAUGCCAUUGUAAAAUCAAACCUACUACUCCGCGUUUUGUACG
Caenorhabditis elegans is the source of this 115-nucleotide non-coding RNA. NCBI's taxonomy places the organism in Eukaryota, Metazoa, Nematoda, Chromadorea, Rhabditida, Rhabditidae. The record is from Ensembl.